AUUGAACGCUGGCGGCAGGCUUAACACAUGCAAGUCGAACGAGUGGCGGACGGGUGCGUAAUGCUUGGGAAUCUAGCUGAUGGAGGGGGAUAACUACGGGAAACUGUAGCUAAUACCGCGUAACAUAGGAUGAGCCAAGGUGGGCGUAGGGCGUUGGUGAGGUAAAGGCUAACCAAGCCGACGCGCUCUAGAUGGUCUGAGAGGUUGACCAGCCACACUGGUACUGCGACACGGCCACGACUCCUACGGGAGGCAGCAGUGGGGAAGAUUGCGCAAUGGGGGCAACCUGACGCAGCCAUGCCGCGUGAAUGAAGAAGGCCUUCGGGUUGUAAAGUUCUUUCGGUAGCGAGGCGUUAACUACAGAAGAAGCACCGGCUAACUCCGUGCCAGCCGCCGCGGUAAUUC
This 405-nucleotide ribosomal RNA is filed under the name uncultured bacterium. RNAcentral's name for it is "partial 16S ribosomal RNA". It matches the Rfam family "Bacterial small subunit ribosomal RNA", at positions 30 to 526 of the family's 1533-position model. The record is from RNAcentral.